CACUCUAGAGAGACUGCCAGGGAUAACCUGGAGGAAGGUGGGGAUGACGUCAAAUCAUCAUGCCCCUUAUGCUUAGGGCUACACACGUGCUACAAUGGGUAGUACAGAGGGUUGCCAAGCCGUAAGGCGGAGCUAAUCCCUUAAAGCUACUCUCAGUUCGGAUUGUAGGCUGAAACUCGCCUACAUGAAGCUGGAGUUACUAGUAAUCGCAGAUCAGAAUGCUGCGGUGAAUGCGUUCCCGGGUCUUGUACACACCGCCCGUCACACCACGGGAGUUGGAGACGCCCGAAGCCGAUUAUCUAACCUUUUGGAAGAAGUCGGCGAAGGUGGAAUUAAUAACUGGGGUGAAGUCGUAACAAGGUAGCCGUAUCGGAAGGUGCGGCUGGAUCACCUCCUUUCUAAGGAGA
RNAcentral lists this ribosomal RNA (407 nucleotides) under Clostridioides difficile. RNAcentral's name for it is "bacterial SSU rRNA". It matches the Rfam family "Bacterial small subunit ribosomal RNA", at positions 1136 to 1533 of the family's 1533-position model. Lineage: Bacteria; Bacillati; Bacillota; Clostridia; Peptostreptococcales; Peptostreptococcaceae. The record is from RNAcentral.